UAAAAAGCUCGUAGUUGGAUCUGUGUAUCGGACGGUCGGUUCGCCGCUCGCGGUGUUUAACUGACCGGUUCGGACGUCAUGCCGGUGGGCCCUCGGCGCAAGCCGUGGACCCGUAACUUACCCUCCGCGCUGCUCUUAACCGAGUGGUUCGGUGGGCCGGCACGUUUACUUUGAACAAAUUUGAGUGCUCAAAGCAGGCCUUAUGUUGCCUGGAAACUGUGUGCAUGGAAUAAUGAAAGAGGACCUUGGUUCUAUUUUGUUGGCUUUCUGAACUUGAGGUAAUGAUUAACAGGGACAGACGGGGGCAUUCGUAUUGCGACGUUAGAGGUGAAAUUCUUGGAUCGUCGCAAGACGGACCGAUGCGAAAGCGUUUGCCAAGAAUGUUUUCGCUAAUCAAGAACGAAAGUUAGAGGUUCGAAGGCGAUUAGAUACCGCCCUAGUUCUAACCAUAAACGAUGUCAGCCAGCGAUGCGCCGAUGUUCCUCCGAUGACACGGCGCGCAACUUCCGGGAAACCAAAGCUUUUGGGUUCCGGGG
This 536-nucleotide ribosomal RNA is filed under the name Epeorus aesculus. Its description in RNAcentral is "SSU rRNA". It matches the Rfam family "Eukaryotic small subunit ribosomal RNA", at positions 620 to 1119 of the family's 1831-position model. RNAcentral also lists the same sequence under 4 other names. The record is from RNAcentral. Lineage: Eukaryota; Metazoa; Arthropoda; Insecta; Ephemeroptera; Heptageniidae.